Molecule: ribosomal RNA, 609 nt
Filed under: uncultured bacterium
Lineage: Bacteria
Description: bacterial SSU rRNA
Rfam family: Bacterial small subunit ribosomal RNA
Source: RNAcentral
CCUACGGGAGGCAGCAGUAAGGAAUAUUGGACAAUGCUCGCAAGAGUGAUCCAGCCAUGCCGCGUGCAGGAAGAAUGCCCUAUGGGUAGUAAACUGCUUUUGAACUAGAGAAAACCCCAGUACGUGUACUGGGCUGAUAGUAUAGUUAGAAUAAGCAUCGGCUAACUUCGUGCCAGCAGCCGCGGUAAGACGAAGGAUGCAAGCGUUAUCCGGAUUCAUUGGGUUUAAAGGGAGCGUAGGUGGACUUAUAAGUCAGUGGUGAAAUCUCCGAGCUUAACUCGGAAAUUGCCAUUGAUACUGUAGGUCUUGAGUACAGUUGCUGUGGGCGGAAUAUGACAUGUAGUGGUGAAAUACAUAGAGAUGUCAUAGAACACCGAUUGCGAAGGCAGCUCACAAAGCUGUAACUGACACUGAGGCUCGAAAGUGCGGGGAUCAAACAGGAUUAGAUACCCUGGCAGUCCGCACCGUAAACGAUGAUUACUCGCUGCUAGGGGGCAACCUUUAGUGGCUUAGCGAAAGCGANAGUAAUCCACCUGGGAGUAGCCGGCAACGGUGAAACGUCAAAUGAAUUGAGGCUUGAGGACGNGCGAGACGACACGAGGGAGGAGG